GACGAACGCUGGCGGCGUGCCUAAUACAUGCAAGUAGAACGCUGAAGAGAGGAGCUUGCUCUUCUUGGAUGAGUUGCGAACGGGUGAGUAACGCGUAGGUAACCUGCCUUGUAGCGGGGGAUAACUAUUGGAAACGAUAGCUAAUACCGCAUAACAAUGGAUGACACAUGUCAUUUAUUUGAAAGGGGCAAUUGCUCCACUACAAGAUGGACCUGCGUUGUAUUAGCUAGUAGGUGAGGUAACGGCUCACCUAGGCGACGAUACAUAGCCGACCUGAGAGGGUGAUCGGCCACACUGGGACUGAAACACGGCCCAGACUCCUACGGGAGGCAGCAGUAGGGAAUCUUCGGCAAUGGGGGCAACCCUGACCGAGCAACGCCGCGUGAGUGAAGAAGGUUUUCGGAUCGUAAAGCUCUGUUGUAAGUCAAGAACGAGUGUGAGAGUGGAAAGUUCACACUGUGACGGUAGCUUACCAGAAAGGGACGGCUAACUACGUG
RNAcentral lists this ribosomal RNA (497 nucleotides) under uncultured bacterium. RNAcentral describes it as "partial 16S ribosomal RNA". It matches the Rfam family "Bacterial small subunit ribosomal RNA", at positions 28 to 507 of the family's 1533-position model. The record is from RNAcentral.